Molecule: transfer RNA, 60 nt
Filed under: Paraconotrochus antarcticus
Lineage: Eukaryota; Metazoa; Cnidaria; Anthozoa; Scleractinia; Caryophylliidae
Description: tRNA-Tyr
Rfam family: tRNA
About the family: Transfer RNA (tRNA) molecules are approximately 80 nucleotides in length. Their secondary structure includes four short double-helical elements and three loops (D, anti-codon, and T loops).
Source: RNAcentral
GGGGGGUUAGGUAAAAGUAAACCAUUGGUCUUCAAAACCAAAAAUGUGGGUGCAAAUCCC